RNAcentral lists this ribosomal RNA (211 nucleotides) under uncultured archaeon. Its description in RNAcentral is "partial 16S ribosomal RNA". It matches the Rfam family "Archaeal small subunit ribosomal RNA", at positions 463 to 673 of the family's 1478-position model. The record is from RNAcentral.
AGCCACGGUAAAUACCCGCUCCCCGAGUGGUGGGGACGGCUUAUUGGGCCUAAAGCAUCCGUAGCUGGCUGGGUAAGUCCCCCUGUUAAAUCCAGCGAUUCAAUCGCUGGACUGCGGGGGAGUACUGCCUAGCUAGGGGCGGGAGAGGCCGGCGGUAUUCCCGGGUAGGGUGAAAUCUUAUAAUCCCGGGAGGACCACCAGUGGCGAAGGC